UGGGGAAUCUUAGACAAUGGGGGCAACCCUGAUCUAGCCAUGCCGCGUGAUCGAUGAAGGCCUUAGGGUUGUAAAGAUCUUUCAGCUGGGAAGAUAAUGACGGUACCAGCAGAAGAAGCCCCGGCUAACUCCGUGCCAGCAGCCGCGGUAAUACGGAGGGGGCUAGCGUUGUUCGGAAUUACUGGGCGUAAAGCGCACGUAGGCGGAUAUUUAAGUCGGGGGUGAAAUCCCGGGGCUCAACCCCGGAACUGCCUUCGAUACUGGGUAUCUUGAGGUCGAGAGAGGUGAGUGGAAUUCCGAGUGUAGAGGUGAAAUUCGUAGAUAUUCGGAGGAACACCAGUGGCGAAGGCGGCUCACUGGCUCGAUACUGACGCUGAGGUGCGAAAGCGUGGGGAGCAAACAGG
Molecule: ribosomal RNA, 404 nt
Filed under: uncultured bacterium
Lineage: Bacteria
Description: bacterial SSU rRNA
Rfam family: Bacterial small subunit ribosomal RNA
Source: RNAcentral